This 1955-nucleotide unclassified non-coding RNA is filed under the name Hevea brasiliensis (rubber tree). Lineage: Eukaryota; Viridiplantae; Streptophyta; Magnoliopsida; Malpighiales; Euphorbiaceae. The record is from RNAcentral.
GAAUUGUAUCAUACAAGUUAAUCUUAAAAUUUAAGUAAUCUCAAAAAGUAAUCCUUAACUAACAAGGAUUUUAAAUAAAGACUCCUAUAAAAAUCUGGGUCUUUCCUUAAAUAAAUGACCAACCACUUGUAUUCUAAAUACACAUAAGUAAAAAUAUAAAAGAACUAGAAAGUAUAAUUUCCCCAAUAAACUCUUUGGUAAAAUAAACUGUCAUCAACUUGCAAGUUCCAAUCCAAACAUUCCCAAGGGCAAGCCUGAGCUAUUGGUUGGAAACACAGCCUAAUUCAUGCAACUACUAUAAUGAGGAAUAUCCAGCUGACUACAGAGACAAGAAAAAUGGUGACAUGGCAACAUUUUACUCAUAGUAACCAAUGAAUAGAUUUUCAACCUAAGAUUACACAAUUUGUUCAAAUUCAUCAGAAAAAUUCUCACCAAUUUUUAAUUUUUAAAUUUAGGAAUACUUCAUAUGAUCGGAAGAUGAAAUAUAACCUAGUUAACUUUAUUUACCCAAAAAUCCAAAUUUGACUCACCAAAUUAACUAAUAAAGUUAUCUAGAAGAUUUGCUAUAAAUAUAAACUUAGAUAAGCUCGUAAUUGUUUCUAAUAUGAAGAAAAGUUCAGCAUCACCUCAUAGGGUUAUCUCCUAUUGAACAAUUGAAGCAUGUAUCCUCAAGAUAUAAUGACAUAGGGAUCAAAUCCCAUGUAUGGAUUUGCUGAAUUCAUUAGCACAUGGUACAUAAUACAUGUUAAAUUUAUAAGAACAUGUAAUCUUUUCAAGAGUUGAACUUUUUAAUUUUUCAAUUCAUGCUUAACUAUAUAUGAGAUCUACAGUUCAAGAAUAGCAUUUAUUAACUAUGAUUGCUCCUACCCUGUUAUAGUUCUUUUACAGUCUGGCAAAAUGAAGUCAUAAUCCACCCCUUAAGGCUUAAGAUAAUAAAUUCAUAUCCAAUCAUUAGGUUUCAAAUUUUUGCAGAUUCUCUCGUAAACCAAACAUCAAGCACCUUUAAUAUAAACAGUUCCAAAAAACUGUUCAAAAAAUGAAUAGGCAUGCCUUAACAGCGACCGAACAGAGAAGAUAAAUUGACUUGUAAUGCUAAUAUGAAAAGUGAUAAAAGCGAAACAGGGAACGCAUAAUAACCUUUUCGGUGCAGGGAACAAGACCUCGUAGGGAAGCCAGAUGAGCAUUGAUCCUCUCUCUCCUUCUCCUCUCUGCCUCACUAUGGCUCUUCAGAGCUGCCAGAGCCUUGGCCUCAGACAUCCCUUUCUUCCCGACUCUCGUAGCCGGUGCUUUUACGAGUUCUCCCUUCUCAUUAUCCAACACCAAAGCCUGCGAGACCAUCGACCCAUCUUGUAGAACCCCAUUAAAACCUUCUAAACUACGCGAAAAUGGAUCCAACGAGCUAAAAUAACCGUACCCAGAUGAUGAAGAGUUAGACUUAUAAUAGUAGGCAGCCAUUGCAAGAAGAAUUAUAAGAAGAAGAGAGGCUGUAUAUGUUAUCUUGUCAGUUUUAUGAGCCGAAAGUGGAGCAGCGUUAGCCUGGUGGACGAGUAGUGGGAGCGAACCAGAAGGAAAGCUUUUGAAGAGGAAAAUUUUGUUGUUUAACAGCCUUGUUAGUGAUUCUUGAGGCUAUGAACAUGCCUUCCAUACCGCAAAAAGGACAAAUUUUGGGUUCAAGGGACAUGGAGAUAAGUUAGUGAGAAAACAUCCACAUUUUCUUCUUGAUAGUCUUGGAGAGCAUUCUUUCUUUGGUAAGUGUGAGAUUCUUUGGAGAGUGGAGAUCUAGUUUAUGCUUUAAAGAAAUGAAAAAGAGUAGUAGUUUUCAAAACUUUGAAUCUUUCUGCUGGAAUUUCGAUGAAUCUUAGAGAAGAAAGGGACAAAGACUCAAAGAAAAUUGGAUUCACAAGGAAAGAAAAUUAGUUUGUUUGGGAGCAGAGAAACGUUUAAAGCGGAAAGAC